AAACUCUCAUAGCUGAAUCACUUAAGUAUAAUUUAAUAGAAUUUCAGUGCAGUUAAUUCUUAAUGGGAAAAUUUGAAAUCGAAAUUGCAGAUUUAAAAGGUACUGUACAACCAUUGUAUCUGUAAAUAACUUAGCACCUUUUUGUCACUUAGAAUAGUAUGUAAUACAACCUGAGUGAGCGCUUUGGGAAGUUUUAUCAAGUUCUAGUGGUUGCUUCUUAGUAUUGAACCGAAUUUUCAAUUCUGUCCUAGACAUUUUGCACUAUAGUAGCCAAAUCCCAUUCUCAUGUCUUUUUGUUAAUGUGCUCUGUGCUGCUGGAGAGUGCUCCUUAGUUUCUUUACCAGCUGCUACUGAAGGUUAUUUUAUAUCCCUGUAGCUAUUUCCAAGGCUACAGAAAACAAAAGCUAUAUUUGUAUGCAACACUAACCCUUUGACUGCUAAUGUAUGUUUCUGCUUGCUGUGCCUUGUUAUGGCUGCUUUUUUGUGCUAAUAAAGUAUGUUUGGUGUUCUCCUUGUAUAUCUGCUGUUUCAUACAUUUGCAACAGUUUCUCUUGUACAUGGAAUGGUUUGGGGUUUUUAAAUAAGCAUUAUCUGGCAACCUGCUAUAGUUAAUGCAGAUUUACCUACAGUCUAAUAUUGACUUAUCAGAAUAAGCUAACUCUAAAUUUAAUGCUUUACAUCUUUCUAAUCAUAAUCACAUAUACUGUGGAACAGUAUCUAUAGUUACUGGAAAUUACUGUACAGUUUAGGUUACAACAGAAAAUUUACAGAGAAAUGAUAAACCUAUCAAUUUCUCUGCUUGUAAGUGAAAGAUUGAAACUCAAUGACUUAGUAUAGUAAAUGAAUAUUUAUAGCAUCCAGCUGCAUCAGAAACAGGUUAAAUGAAGUCUUGUAGAGUAAUAAUACAUCAGCACCAUUUAUUGGUUUGGGGACCAUUUUGAUUGAUAAUAAAUGCCCAAAAUGUAGAACUUUAACCAAAGACUUGUCUAUUUUUAAUGUAAAAUGGGAAUUGAAGGGACUUUUAAUUUGUUAUUUCUAAUAAGUCUCUGAAGAACAUAUACCAAAGUGUUUGAGAACUUCAUCCAAACCUACUUUAAAGCUUAUGUGCAAUUAAGUUGUUAUGACAUAAUUAUAUUGCAUAAUUGUUAGGUCCGUUUUCUUGAGCUUAUAAUGUACCUGGAAAAUAAACCUCUGAGGAAAAAAAAAAGUCCAUAUUGAUUUUUGGAGAAGGACUAUAUAUGCAAGUAAGAUGGUGUUGUGAAGAGGUAACUUGAAACUCCAAGAAAGCACUUGAUGUUUUUAUAUGCUUGUAGCAAAUUGAUGUUCUAAUUGUAGUUUUAUAGAAAGUAUUAAUGCUUUUAUGUAUUUUAGAACUUUCAUAAUGUUAAAUGGACAUUGUUUUAAAUGUGUACCUAUUUGAGUUUAUGUAAGCAUGUAUACACUGUGCAAAAAGUCACUUAUGUUUCAGUUUGUAUAAUAUUAAUAUGCAACUUUUGGGUUAAACUUUUUUCUUAAAAUAUUAGUGGCUUACAUUUUAAAAAAGAAAAAUCACCAGCAUGAAAAUGCACCUAAGUCUAUAUUCACUGUGUCUUUUUUCUGAAUCCCAUUGUAGCCUGUCAACUAAAUUUGUGUUUUUAUGGUCUUUUUGAAGUGCAAUUUAUUAUAAACCAGAAAAUUCUUAAGAAGUUGGGGCACAUCUUCAUAGUGAAAUAUGAAGAAAGGGUAGAAGAGUUGCUUUGAUAUCCUCAUUCUUUGAUUAUUUCCCUUCCCCUACACACAUACACAUGCACACACACACAUGCCUCUCCCUUAACCCUCCCUUUCUCCCUCCAUAUCUCCAUAUAUAGGUAUACAUAUGUAUGUGUACAUUUAUGUAUGUAUGUAUGUAUAUAUACAUAUACAUUUAUGGUAUUAUUAUUUUGGACAACAAUAUUGUCAUCUGAUACAAAAUCAUCUAGUAGGCCUUAUUCUAUAGAUACUGUCUGAGAAAUGUUCUUUUUGUGUGUGUGUUGCGGGCGGGGGAUUUUGGAGGUUGAACCCCAGGGUCUUGCACAUGCUAGGAAGUCAUUCUACCACUGAGUGACAGUUCCAACCCUGAGAAAUAUUCUUGUAUCAUUCAAAUUUUAUUAUCUCCUCCUAAAGUUUAGCCUUGCCACUGUAGUAUUAUUUGUAAUAUAGUCAUCUUACAGAGAGAAACAAAUUCAUCAGGAUUUUCUUUUCUGGCUAAACAGUUUAAAAAUUUUAAAAGAAAUAGCUUGUUUUAAGUACAGAUAUUAAGAGUCAUAAUUAUAUUUCUUAGAUUAAAGUUGAUCCCAAAUAGUUCUUCACAAACCAAUUUAUAUUCUUAAGGUCUUUUAGAAAGUUUUUAUAAGAUUGUAAUGGCUCAAACCAUAAAAACUGAUACUUGAAUUCCAGGCUUCCUUUUGACAAAAUCCAAAGUUUAUGAACUUUUUUAGUUGACAUUUUGAUCCUGGUUGCUAUUCAUUUUCAUCCCAAAGCUUCUUUUGCUCCCUGGCACUAAACAUUAACCUGAACAUUUUAUUGAGACUGGCUUUAAACUUUAUUUUUAUAGCAAAUAACAAAAAUUGCUUUUUGGUAACAGUAAAGAGCCCAUGAGUAAGUCAGAAUCCUAAGUAAAAGAGCCAAAUCCAUCUCUUGAGAGUAUGUUAGCAUAAGGGCGAAUCACACCCGCUUGUUCACUUACUUACCAACACAUGCUGUUGUACUUUGAUGGAAUUCAAUAAAAAUGCACACAGGACUGACUUAAAAGUGGGAAAAGUUUCAAAAGGGAUGAUACUACUCGGUAUAUGUUCAUUACAAAACUGAGUAUGUAAGAUUCAAGUGGUUUCAUGUUUUUGUUUUUGCGAUAGCUGAUAAAGAAUAUAGACUUUUAAAAAC
Molecule: long non-coding RNA, 2898 nt
Filed under: Marmota monax (woodchuck)
Lineage: Eukaryota; Metazoa; Chordata; Mammalia; Rodentia; Sciuridae
Source: RNAcentral